GGGAAAGGUGAAAAGCACUUCGAACAGAAGAGUGAAAUAGUCCCUGAACCCAUACGCCUACAAGCAGUCGGAGCCGCUUCGUGCGGUGACGGCGUGCCUUUUGCAUAAUGAGCCUACGAGUUACUCAUCACCAGCGAGGUUAAGUACUUCAGGUACGUAAGCCGAAGCGAAAGCGAGUCUGAAUAGGGCGUCAAGUUGGUGGUGGUAGACGCGAAACCUUAGUGAUCUACCCAUGGGCAGGGUGAAGGUUUGGUAACACAAACUGGAGGCCCGAACCGGUAAACGUUGAAAAGUUUUCGGAUGACCUGUGGGUAGGGGUGAAAGGCCAAUCAAACUGGGAAAUAGCUCGUACUCUCCGAAAUGCAUUUAGGUGCAGCCUCUGUUGUUUUGUUCUAGAGGUAGAGCUACUGAUUGGAUGCGAGGGCUUCACCGCCUAUCAAAUCCGGCCAAACUCCGAAUGCUAGAACAUAAAGACAGGGAGUGAGCCAGCGGGUGCUAAGGUCCGUUGACGAAAGAGGGAGAACUCAGACCAUCAGCUAAGGUCCCCAAUUAUAUGCUAAGUUGGAAUAAAAACGGGGUGGGACUGCUUAGACAGCUAGGAUGUUGGCUUGGAAGCAGCCAUUCAUUUAAAGAGUGCGUAACAGCUCACUAGUCGAGCGGUCCUGCAUGGAUAAUACGCGGGCAUAAGCAUAUAACCGAAGCUAUGGGAUUGUAGAUGAUACAAUCGGUAGGAGAGCAUUCCAUUCAGCAUAGAAGCAGUAUCGUGAGGUAUUGUGGAGCGGAUGGAAAAGCAAAUGUAGGCAUAAGUAACGAUAAUGCGGGUGAGAACCCCGCACGCCGAAAGAUCAAGGAUUCCCCGGCAAUGUCAAUCAUCCGGGGGUAAGUCGGAUCCUAAGGGUAAGCCGAGUGGCGAUCCCGAUGGUAAACAGGUUAAUAUUCCUGUACUGAUCAUAACUGCGAUGCAGCGACGCAGAGGUGACACUGCUGCGUACUGACGGAAUAGUACGUUGAAACCCGUAUUCUUUGAUACCGGUAGUGAAGCACGCCGGUAGAGAUGAAAGGUGAUAGUACCGCAAUGCUUCGGUUGCGCGGAUAAUGCAGGUAAGCUGACUGCCAAGAAAACCUGCUAAGCUUCAGGUAAUGAUCAUCCGUACUGUAAACGGACACACGUGAUCAGGUAGAAAAUACUAAGGCGCUCGAGAGAUUCAUGGUUAAGGAACUAGGCAAAAUGGUCCUGUAACUUCGGGAUAAAGGACGCUCUUGUGAAAGAGCCGCAGAUAAUAGGCCCAGGCGACUGUUUACCAAAAACACAUGGCUAUGCUAAUUCGCAAGAAGAUGUAUAUGGCCUGACACCUGCCCGGUGCCGGAAGGUUAAGAGGAGAGCUCAGAGGUAACUCGAAGGUUUGAAUUGAAGCCCCGGUAAACGGCGGCCGUAACUAUAACGGUCCUAAGGUAGCGAAAUUCCUUGUCGGGUAAGUUCCGACCUGCACGAAUGGUGUAACGAUCUGGGUACUGUCUCAACCAUGAGCUCGGUGAAAUUGUAGUUCCGGUGAAGAUGCCGGAUACCCGCAACGGGACGGAAAGACCCCGUGAACCUUUACUGCAGCUUUGCAUUGAUUUUGGGUAACAGAUGUGUAGGAUAGGUCGGAGGCUUUGAUGCUGCGUCGUCAGGCGUAGAGUAGCCGUCGUUGAAAUACGACCCUUUUGUUAUCUGAGGUCUAAUCCCGUUAGGGAGACAUUGCAUGGUGGGUAGUUUGACUGGGGUGGUCGCCUCCAAAAGUGUAACGGAGGCUUCUCAAGGUACCCUCAAGGCGUUUGGUAAUCGUCUGCAGAGUGCAAUGGCAUAAGGGUGCUUGACUGUGAGACCGACACGUCGAUCAGGUUGGAAACA
This 1891-nucleotide ribosomal RNA is filed under the name human gut metagenome. RNAcentral describes it as "bacterial LSU rRNA". It matches the Rfam family "Bacterial large subunit ribosomal RNA", at positions 507 to 2406 of the family's 2925-position model. The record is from RNAcentral.